GGGCGAAUAGCUCAGUUGGGAGAGCGCUUCCCUUACAAGGAAGAUGUCGGGGGUUCAAGUCCCUCACGGCCCACGA
RNAcentral lists this transfer RNA (76 nucleotides) under Armatimonadota bacterium. RNAcentral's name for it is "Armatimonadetes bacterium (hot springs metagenome) tRNA-Val". It matches the Rfam family "tRNA". Rfam says of the family: Transfer RNA (tRNA) molecules are approximately 80 nucleotides in length. Their secondary structure includes four short double-helical elements and three loops (D, anti-codon, and T loops). The record is from RNAcentral. Lineage: Bacteria; Bacillati; Armatimonadota.